Molecule: RNA transcript, 1665 nt
Organism: Ananas comosus (pineapple)
Lineage: Eukaryota; Viridiplantae; Streptophyta; Magnoliopsida; Poales; Bromeliaceae
Gene name: UV radiation resistance-associated gene protein-like
Exons: 7
Source: RefSeq, a predicted model, not a curated record
UUAAUUAAUUAUAAUGCGAGGAGUGCCCGGGCGACGCCCUCGAGGAUUCGUUAGCAGUUGCUCUUCGCGCGGUUCGGCACGAAAUUUGGCGCGGACGUCGUUCUCCGACGCUUCUCUCUCUCACUCUCUCUCCGCCGCGUCUCCGUCGCCACCCUCUCCCUCCUCCCCAGCGCGCCUCUCUCCGCCAUGAACCCCCGGCUGAGCUCCCGAAACCCUACCUCCGCUUCUACGCGGCCGCAAUGAACCCCUGCCAUGGAUCCCGACCGAUCGGACGGACCGGAUCCUCCCGAUCCCGGAUCGGCGGCGGAGGCGGCGGCGGAGGAGGAGGACGCGGAGGCGCCGAAGGUGGUGGAGUGGGACGAGCUGCAGGAGGAGCUUGCGCGCCUGUGGAGCCUCUCCUCUGCGGCUCACGAGGCGAAGGAGCGCAAGGACGCGCUCACUCGGCGGAUCGAAUCGAUCCUCAAGUCAAGGGAAGAAUCGCUGCGUCGGAGAUAUGAGCUGGAGGACAUGAGGCAAAAGCUAAACCUUAAGAAGACUGCCCUGGAGGAUUUACGAAUGCGCGUGAAAAAAGCGUCGAAGGAUGUUGAGGGCAAGCGGGAGCAACUUUGUCUGGAGAUCAGAACAUUGCUGGUCGCUGCCGAGAAUCUCUCCACAGCUCAACAACAAUUGCAGGAAGCAAAUAAAUUGUUAGCAGCAAAAAUGGGCCAUGACCAGCUUAAAAAUGUAGAAAAGAUGAUACGAAUGAAACAACAAUAUUUGGUAGCACAAGUUGCUGCCAUAUACCCUGUGGAGGCCAUCAACGAACAAUCUCCUGGAGAGAAGCCUGAUUUGCGUUUUGGAGGAGACAUUGGAUUGUCUUCCAAAGAUGUGCCUAAACCUCUGCCUUUGUCAUCUUUGACAAUCUUGGGGUUGCAGCUAACCAUGUUUCCCAAGAUGAGUAUUUUCGGUGACGAGAAGGAGCUUCAGAACUCUGCAACUGUUCUGGGCUAUGUUGCACAUGCAGUCUCACUUAUUGCUUCAUACCUCAACGUCCGUCUCCGUUAUCCUCUGCGAUUAGGAGCUUCGCGUUCCUAUAUUCUUGAUCAUGCGCCUUCAGUUAAAUUUACAUUAGCAGAUGUGGAAACAAAUCCUCCCAUUAAGACCAUGAGUUUGAAACCUACAGAAUUUCCCCUUUUUCUAGAAGGACAAGAUGCCAUUAGAGCAGCCUAUGCGAUAUUCUUGUUGAACAAGGUCAAAAGGUUGAUGCCCGAGAGUCGACAAGUGAUUGCAUAGUUUCUCAAAGAGUUGGAGGUGAUGCAAAAUUCAUGGUAGAUUACCAAAGUUAACCAGUCUAUGUUCCAGAUUAAGCUGGUCUGUAUUUUUUUUGGUUUGAGGAAAACUGAAACAACUGCAGUAAGUGAAGAAAUGAGGAUUUGACAUCAACCUUUGAAUAUGAAUGAAACCCAGAGGACUGAGGAAUUAACACAAUGGUUGUAGGUAAAAAUAGGAUAUGAAAGGGUAGUAUAAGUGUCAUCAACUUCAUUCUGGUUGUCAGGUGACUAAUCAAUCUCAUUUUCUGUAAAAAGAAUAAGAAUCUCAAGGAAGCAAAUGUCGAAGAAAAUUCUGUGCGUUUCUGAUGCUUUGCAUAUUGAGAGGAUUUGGAGCAGCUUCUGAAUUACGUUGGUG